UAUGUCAGUGUUUUUUAAUCAUUUUGUUUCUCUGGUAUUACAGUUGUACUUUUAGGUUCUCCGUCUAAAAUAUCGUUCCUCCCUUGUCGUUCUCGUGACUCAGCUCUCUGUUCCUGUGACAAAGUGUUUGAGAGAAAGCAUUCAAGGGAGGCUUUAUAUGCCUCCCUUUCAGCCUGUAGUCUGCUGGCUCUGUUGUCCUGGGGAGGAGUGAGGCAGAGCAUUAUGGUGGGGAAAUGUGAAAGAGCCUCACUCCAUACAAGCUGGAAAGUAGGAAGAGAAGGAAGGGGAAGAGUGUGGAGACGAGAUGGUGGCUCCAGUGACUUCCCUACCCGAGCUGGGCCUCCAGAUCCACUCAGCUAUGAAUUCAUCCACAGUCAAAGUCAUUACAACCUCCAUGACCCAAGUGGCAGAUAAGCCUUCAAAACAGGAGCCCAUGGGAGGUCAUUGGACAGCCAGACCAUGGCAGCAUCUUCUCUUGAUUUAUCCAACAUUUUUCCAGAUAUCGUCUUUAUGUCUAUCCAAACCGAAUGAUCGUCCCUUCCACGAAUAAAUUGUUAUCCACUGUG
RNAcentral lists this long non-coding RNA (566 nucleotides) under Rattus norvegicus (Norway rat). Its description in RNAcentral is "long non-coding RNA NONRATT010365". Lineage: Eukaryota; Metazoa; Chordata; Mammalia; Rodentia; Muridae. The record is from RNAcentral.